GACGAACGCUGGCGGCGUGCUUAACACAUGCAAGUCGAACGGUGAAGCGCCUUCCUUUUUGGUGGGUGUGGAUGAGUGGCGAACGGGUGAGUAACACGUGAGUAACCUGCCCCCUUCUUCUGGAUAACCGCAUGAAAGUGUGGCUAAUACGGGAUAUUCUGGGUCUGUCGCAUGAUGGGUCUGGGAAAGAUAUUGUUUCGGUGGGGGAUGGGCUCGCGGCCUAUCAGCUUGUUGGUGGGGUGAUGGCCUACCAAGGCGGUGACGGGUAGCCGGCCUGAGAGGGUGGACGGUCACACUGGGACUGAGACACGGCCCAGACUCCUACGGGCGGCAGCAGUGGGUAAUAUUGCACAAUGGGCGCAAGCCUGAUGCAGCGACGCCGCGUGAGGGAUGGAGGCCUUCGGGUUGUGAACCUCUUUCGCCAGUGAAGCAGGCCUGCCUCGUUUGUGGGUGGGUUGACGGUAGCUGGAUAAGAAGCGCCGGCUAACUACGUG
This 494-nucleotide ribosomal RNA is filed under the name uncultured bacterium. RNAcentral describes it as "partial 16S ribosomal RNA". It matches the Rfam family "Bacterial small subunit ribosomal RNA", at positions 28 to 507 of the family's 1533-position model. The record is from RNAcentral.